Molecule: long non-coding RNA, 451 nt
Filed under: Coccomyxa subellipsoidea
Lineage: Eukaryota; Viridiplantae; Chlorophyta; Trebouxiophyceae; Coccomyxaceae
Description: long non-coding RNA (CSUB_LNC000428)
Source: RNAcentral
CUUGAGCAGGCUAUCACACAUGUUGGCCAGGCGCAGAGCCGCAGUGCCGGCCUCGUCAGCAGACUGGCUGCCCGCCUCGUCAGCAGCUGACUGAUACAGCUUUAUCGCUCUGCUCAAGGCCUGCACGACAGCAGCAAUACCCCUCAGCAAACCUCAACGAAACUUGCUUGAAAGUGCCUAUCAUUGGCAGGUACCUAGGACUCUUGGACUCCCCAACACAAAGCAACGAGCAAUAGAAGAGAUGCCGGAUUGCACUGUAAUCUCGCUCAGUGCAUGCUUAUCUUCUCAAUGGAAACACCUUGGGGUCGCUCGGGGCGAGAGCUCUCUGUGCAUCGCCUUCAAGGAUGGCUCUCCUGGUGCUGCCCUCAGCAGUGCCGAUCUGCUUCAGCUCUUGCAAGCUGUCUCCCAAGCGUGCCUUUAUGACAGAGCUGGUUGGGUCUGUAGCUGCCUG